AAAAAAAAAAAAAAAAAAAAAAUGGGUUGCCAACACAAAAAAAAUCAGGUGACCUCACAUUUGUGGGAUGAUGCCAUCAUUUUGAUAGAGAAGCUGCACGCAGUUGGCUGGAAGACUUUGCUCCUGGUGGAAUAUCCACACAAGAAGGCCAAAAUGAUCUUACCUAAAGAUGAAUUGUUGAGCAAAGGUGCACAGAGAUGUGUGCAAAACAUUUAUGAAAUUUUUUAAAUGAUGGUUGAAGUGAAUCCAGAACAGGCAACAGACAGUAGCCAUGAGCCUGAGGAGGCUACUGUCACUCUAAAUUUUGAAAUAACGAACCCAUUAA
Molecule: non-coding RNA, 325 nt
Organism: Pimephales promelas (fathead minnow)
Lineage: Eukaryota; Metazoa; Chordata; Actinopteri; Cypriniformes; Leuciscidae
Source: RefSeq, a predicted model, not a curated record